This 253-nucleotide ribosomal RNA is filed under the name uncultured bacterium. Its description in RNAcentral is "partial 16S ribosomal RNA". It matches the Rfam family "Bacterial small subunit ribosomal RNA", at positions 524 to 776 of the family's 1533-position model. The record is from RNAcentral.
UACGUAGGGGGCGAGCGUUGUUCGGAUUUACUGGGCGUAAAGGGCGCGUAGGCGGCCCUCUUUGUCGCGUGUGAAAGCCCCGGGCUCAACCUGGGAAUGGCGCGCGAAACGGGGGGGCUUGAGUUCGGGAGAGGAGCGUGGAAUUCCCAGUGUAGAGGUGAAAUUCGUAGAUAUUGGGAAGAACACCGGUGGCGAAGGCGGCGCUCUGGGCCGAUACUGACGCUGAGGAGCGAAAGCGUGGGGAGCGAACAGG